RNAcentral lists this unclassified non-coding RNA (348 nucleotides) under soil metagenome. RNAcentral's name for it is "partial contains 5.8S ribosomal RNA, internal transcribed spacer 2, and large subunit ribosomal RNA". The stretch from base 1 to 120 matches the Rfam family "5.8S ribosomal RNA", at positions 35 to 154 of the family's 154-position model. The record is from RNAcentral.
GAUGAAGCACGCAGCAAAAUGCGAUACGUAAGGUGAAUUGCAGAAUUCAGUGAAUCAUCGAAUCUUUGAACGCACAUUGCGCCCGCUGGUAUUCCGGCGGGCAUGCCUGUUCGAGCGUCAUUUCAACCCUCAAGCCCCCGGGUUUGGUGUUGGGGAUCGGCUCUGCCCUUCUGGGCGGUGCCGCCCCCGAAAUACAUUGGCGGUCUCGCUGCAGCCUCCAUUGCGUAGUAGCUAACACCUCGCAACUGGAACGCGGCGCGGCCAUGCCGUAAAACCCCAACUUCUGAAUGUUGACCUCGGAUCAGGUAGGAAUACCCGCUGAACUUAAGCAUAUCAAUAAGCGGAGGA